GCAUAUUUUUCAGCCUAGUGUCAACAACAGUUUGUAACAGCUCUUUCCAUGUUGUAUUUGCCUUAGGUUUGCAAACUCCUAGCUCAUGAAGAAGGAACCUGACUUCACUUCUCAGCUUCAGGCUGCUGAGAUUCUUCCACUGACUCUAAACAGUGAGUUCCACAGUCAUGUAUGCACUGAACAGGCACUUCUUAGUGAGCUGCUGUGAUAGCCUACAAAUCUUUUCACUGAAAUGUGAAAUGUUGAUCAGAAAUUAUUGACUUGUAGCGAGGAUUUCUGAAUCUACUGCACCCAAAAGGAAUCUCCCAGCCUAGGAUAUGAGUCAAGCUGCUGUGUCUGUGCCAUGCAUAUCACUGUCAGUCUUCCAGAGCUGAAGAUGAAACUUCUCCAGAAGAUCAGAGACAUGCUUUUUCUGAGACCUGCAGUGUAGCAGGAGACUACGGAAGAUUCUUCAGAGUGGAUGCCAUGUGCUUCAUGGAUCUCCUGCAGUCUGGCUCAUUCAGUCCUGAAGAAGUAGUUCAGAAGAAUUUCUAUUCAUCCAGUUGUCUUCUAUUAUGUUUCCAUAUGCAAAGGCACCAUUCUUAUCCUCAUUAGCAGACAUCCAACCAUGACAGGAGAAAAGGCAAGACUAUAUGUGGCAGAGCAUUCCCAGAUCGGAGAGGUAAUUCCAGUGUUUGGGGGAGUGGGGAACACAUGAGGUGGAAAGCUCACUCUUUG
Molecule: long non-coding RNA, 717 nt
Filed under: Coturnix japonica (Japanese quail)
Lineage: Eukaryota; Metazoa; Chordata; Aves; Galliformes; Phasianidae
Description: lncRNA (ENSCJPG00005018562.1)
Source: RNAcentral